UACGUAGGGGGCAAGCGUUGUCCGGAUUUAUUGGGCGUAAAGAGCGUGUAGGCGGCUUUACAGGUCCGUUGUGAAAACUCGAGGCUCAACCUCGAGACGCCGGUGGAAACCGUAAAGCUAGAGUCCGGAAGAGGAGAGUGGAAUUCCUGGUGUAGCGGUGAAAUGCGUAGAGAUCAGCAGGAACACCAGUGGCGAAGGCGACUACCUGGCCUGUAACUGACGCUGAGACGCGAAAGCGUGGGGAGCAAACCGG
RNAcentral lists this ribosomal RNA (253 nucleotides) under uncultured bacterium. RNAcentral describes it as "partial 16S ribosomal RNA". It matches the Rfam family "Bacterial small subunit ribosomal RNA", at positions 524 to 776 of the family's 1533-position model. The record is from RNAcentral.